Molecule: ribosomal RNA, 532 nt
Filed under: uncultured bacterium
Lineage: Bacteria
Description: bacterial SSU rRNA
Rfam family: Bacterial small subunit ribosomal RNA
Source: RNAcentral
UAGAGUUUGAUCCUGGCUCAGGACGAACGCUGGCGGCGUGCUUAACACAUGCAAGUCGAGGGGGCUUUGGGAGCAAUCCUGAAGUCACCGGCGAACGGGUGCGUAACACGUGAGCGAUCUAUCGCAGCUGCGGGGGAUAGCCGGUCCAACGGCCGGGUAAUACCGCAUACGCUCUUUUGGGGGCAUCCCUGGGAGAGGAAAGCUGGUUCCGCAAGGGGCUGGCACAGUGCGAGGGGCUCGCGGCCUAUCAGCUAGUUGGCGAGGUCACGGCUCACCAAGGCGACGACGGGUAGCUGGUCUGAGAGGAUGGCCAGCCACAUUGGGACUGAGAUACGGCCCAGACUCCUACGGGAGGCAGCAGUGGGGAAUCUUGCGCAAUGGGCGAUAAGCCUGACGCAGCGACGCCGCGUGGGGGAGGAAGGGCUUCGGCUCGUAAACCCCUGUUGCUCGGGACGAAGGCUCCCUUUUGAAGGGGCGUGACGGUACCGAGCGAGGAAGCACCGGCUAACUCCGUGCCAGCAGCCGCGGUAAU